UCCACAGACACUUGAAGACUCGCACCACAAGCCAUGGAAGGGUGGGUGCCACUGCUGCCGUGCACAGGGCUGCGAUUCCGGGGUACCUCACUGCAGAGGUGCUGGAGCUGGCAGGCCUAUGGGUGAUAGUGGCUUUAAAUGUUUGGCUGAUUCUGUCUGGAUCUCCUUUUAUUGAUAAUUCCAGGAACUUGCUUGGCCCCAAGUGUGGAAGGCUCCAGCUUCCUUCCCCGCCGCAGGAUCCUAUUACUUCUUUGUUCUGUUUGAACUCUGCAGACUCUAAAGUGAAGUGAGUCGGUGGAAAACCUGGCUGGAUCUCAAGAAUACAGCCUGCGUCUGAGUCCCAUGAAUCUCCCCGCAGCUUAAGGCCUCCUGUGAGCAGAGCGGAUACUGUAAAGCCCUCUCAAAGACACUAAUAACUAGAAGUGGGACUGUAGCUCCAAAGUGGCUUUUUUUUCCCCUUUCCCCCGUGUAACUUGCUGGAA
This 482-nucleotide long non-coding RNA is filed under the name Homo sapiens (human). Its description in RNAcentral is "non-protein coding lnc-RGMA-13:1". Lineage: Eukaryota; Metazoa; Chordata; Mammalia; Primates; Hominidae. The record is from RNAcentral.